Salvelinus sp. IW2-2015 is the source of this 198-nucleotide long non-coding RNA. RefSeq lists it as uncharacterized. Lineage: Eukaryota; Metazoa; Chordata; Actinopteri; Salmoniformes; Salmonidae. The record is from RefSeq and is a predicted model, not a curated record.
GCUAGAGAGACACUGGGGAGAGGACUGUACACACUACAGGACUUCUACAGCCACAGUAACUGGGUGGAUCUGGGAUACACCGAACCCUACGCCAACCUGAUCCGCCCCGAUCUCCCACUGGAAAACCUGGCAGAUGUUAAAACCCCGACCUGCAGUGACUGUGCCAAUGGGGGGUUCUGUUCCAACUCCAUCCUAACU